AUGCUACAGUUUGCCUUGGAGAGCUAGGAGUGAGAGGGAUAGGCUGCUUGGAGAUAGUACUGAGGAAAGGUGUUUGGGUGUGGAAGAUAGGAAAGUGGUGUGGGAGAAGGGUUGUUAAAGAAUGGAGCAAAAAGAGUCAUUAGUCCAUUUGGAAGAAGACAGCUUCUGGAGGUGCCCAACUACCAAUACAGUUUCAGAGUCUGCCAGACCAUAAGGAACAUGCUCUUCUGAAAUUUGUGCUAGAGGUCUACUGUCAGCAAACAUGAACUUGGCCCGUUCACAUUUCCCCAUAGCUUUAAAAAGAAUUCUGUUGAGAAUCCAGUGGGAAAGUGGUAAAUUUGAAAGCUUCUGAAGAGUGCAUCGUAGCUCAGAAUGUGCAAAGCUCCAACACUGGCAAACUGUGGGGUAAUGCCCCAUGUUUCCUCAGUUCCCUUGCUGAAACAUGAGCUCUGUCAGGAAAUAGGCACUUAUUUGAACUGCAGCAAAGCACCACUCAAUAAAGAUCAUUCUGAGCUAGUUUUGGAAUCUUCUCUGAUCUGAGAUGAUGCCAUAAGAUAUUCUCUGGCAGCUACACAUGCAACAAACUUCCUUACCAAAUCAGCCAUCGACUCAGGACUUCAAAUUGUAAGCCACAGAGGGUGAACCUGUUGACCACUUAAUGGCACUUAAUCAUUGUGAAAAUGUGAUGUUCAGAACAGAGUGAUGAUAUCAAGAGAACUUAAUAGUACCAGUUUUGUAUGACAUGAAAUAGACGUUUAUAUGACAUAAAUAGAAUAACUUAUAGGAAAAACAGCAAAAAGAAGACCAAACUGAUACUUAAUGAGUUAUCCAUUAAUUUUUUUGAGGAGAAAAAUAAAGCAGU
This is a long non-coding RNA of Lagopus leucura (white-tailed ptarmigan), 862 nucleotides long. RefSeq lists it as uncharacterized. The transcript is spliced from 4 exons. NCBI's taxonomy places the organism in Eukaryota, Metazoa, Chordata, Aves, Galliformes, Phasianidae. The record is from RefSeq and is a predicted model, not a curated record.